Molecule: ribosomal RNA, 413 nt
Filed under: uncultured bacterium
Lineage: Bacteria
Description: bacterial SSU rRNA
Rfam family: Bacterial small subunit ribosomal RNA
Source: RNAcentral
GGGCCCGCACAAGCGGUGGAGCAUGUGGUUUAAUUCGAUGAUACGCGAGGAACCUUACCAGGGCUUAAAUGUAAGUUGCAUUAGUUAGAGAUAGCUAUUUCUUCGGACCACUUACAAGGUGCUGCAUGGUUGUCGUCAGCUCGUGCCGUGAGGUGUCAGGUUAAGUCCUAUAACGAGCGCAACCCCUGUUGUUAGUUGCCAGCGAGUCAUGUCGGGAACUCUAACAAGACUGCCGGUGCAAACCGUGAGGAAGGUGGGGAUGACGUCAAAUCAUCACGGCCCUUACGUCCUGGGCUACACACGUGCUACAAUGGUCGGUACAGAGAGCAGCCACUACGCGAGUAGGCGCGAAUCUUCAAAGCCGGUCUCAGUUCGGAUUGUAGGCUGCAACUCGCCUACAUGAAGGUGGAAUC